Molecule: ribosomal RNA, 253 nt
Filed under: uncultured bacterium
Lineage: Bacteria
Description: partial 16S ribosomal RNA
Rfam family: Bacterial small subunit ribosomal RNA
Source: RNAcentral
UACGGGGGGGGCAAGCGUUGUUCGGAAUUACUGGGCGUAAAGGGCUCGUAGGCGGCCAACUAAGUCAGACGUGAAAUCCCCAGGCUCAACCUGGGAACUGCGUCUGAUACUGGAUGGCUUGAAUCCGGGAGAGGGAUGCAGAAUUCCAGGUGUAGCGGUGAAAUGCGUAGAUAUCUGGAGGAAUACCGGUGGCGAAGGCGGCAUCCUGGACCGGCAUUGACGCUGAGGCGCGAAAGCCAGGGGAGCAAACGGG